UACGGAGGAUGCGAGCGUUAUCCGGAUUUAUUGGGUUUAAAGGGUGCGUAGGCGGAUCGUUAAGUCAGUGGUCAAAUUGAGGGGCUCAACCCCUUCCCGCCAUUGAAACUGGCGAUCUUGAGUGGAAGAGAAGUAUGCGGAAUGCGUGGUGUAGCGGUGAAAUGCAUCGAUAUCACGCAGAACCCCGAUUGCGAAGGCAGCAUGCCGGCUUCCUACUGACGCUGAAGCACGAAAGCGUGGGGAUCGAACAGG
This 252-nucleotide ribosomal RNA is filed under the name uncultured bacterium. RNAcentral describes it as "partial 16S ribosomal RNA". It matches the Rfam family "Bacterial small subunit ribosomal RNA", at positions 524 to 776 of the family's 1533-position model. The record is from RNAcentral.